GCGCGUGUAGGUGAAAAUAGUUUAUGCUAAAAUUAUUUACUUUAAAUUAUAAUAUUUUUUCUUGUACUUGGAUUAUUAGAAAAGGUUAAAUGAAACAAAUAGGUGGCUAAAUUAUGGAUCAUCUGCUUUAUAAAGGCAAACGAUGUCACGGAAUGAACAUUCUGUCCGUUGAUCUUUAAAGCGCGUUAAACAUUAAAUUUAAUAAGAUGAACGCUGUUGCUUUAAUUUUGAUUGUUUGUGCAUUUUUCUCCCACUCUUGGUGUCAAUCUGUAUCCAGAAAAUACCUCCCUAGCGAACCUGGAUAUCCCUCUGAUGUACCUCAGGUACCCUUUGAAGGGCUUCCUCCACUAGAACCUUCGAAGGAUAGUGCUCCAGCUUUUGCUCAAGUAAGGACAUGCGCCGGUUGUAUCAAUCCUUUGCUAGAACAUGGAACACAUUCUGAGGUCUACCAAGUUCAGUAGUCAUACAGUGUUUUCAAUAUUUCAAUCGCUUGUAAUAUAUUUUAUGUUUUAAGAAAUAAGAGCUAAAAUUAAAAAUAAAUGUAAACAUGUUUAUGCA
Long non-coding RNA from Anthonomus grandis grandis, 558 nucleotides. RefSeq lists it as uncharacterized. The transcript has 2 exons. Lineage: Eukaryota; Metazoa; Arthropoda; Insecta; Coleoptera; Curculionidae. The record is from RefSeq and is a predicted model, not a curated record.